This is a non-coding RNA of Cryptococcus sp. DSM 104549, 89 nucleotides long. Lineage: Eukaryota; Fungi; Basidiomycota; Tremellomycetes; Tremellales; Cryptococcaceae. The record is from the annotation of a GenBank genome assembly.
GUUUCGUUGGUGCAGUGGUAGCAUGCCCCCUUAGGGUUUUCUUCGGAGAGCUUUGGGGGUGGUCCUCGGUUCAAUCCCGGGACGAGACC